Molecule: ribosomal RNA, 387 nt
Filed under: uncultured bacterium
Lineage: Bacteria
Description: bacterial SSU rRNA
Rfam family: Bacterial small subunit ribosomal RNA
Source: RNAcentral
GACGAACGCUGGCGGCGUGCUUAACACAUGCAAGUCGAGCGGUAAGGCCCUUUCGGGGGUACACGAGCGGCGAACGGGUGAGUAACACGUGGGUGACCUGCCCUCAGCUCUGGGAUAAGCCUGGGAAACUGGGUCUAAUACUGGAUAUGACUCCACGGUGCAUGUCGUGGGGUGGAAAGCCUUGUGCGGCUGAGGAUGGGCCCGCGGCCUAUCAGCUUGUUGGUGGGGGAUGGCCUACCAAGCCGACGACGGGUAGCCGGCCUGAGAGGGCGACCGGCCACACUGGGACUGAGACACGGCCCAGACUCCUACGGGAGGCAGCAGUGGGGAAUCUUGCGCAAUGGGCGAAAGCCUGACGCAGCGACGCCGCGUGAGGGAUGACGGCCU